CGUGUAGGCGGAGGCGCAAGUCAGAUGUGAAAUCCCCGCGCUUAACGUGGGCAUUGCAUUUGAAACUAUGUAGCUAGAGUUCUGUAGAGGGGGGUAGAAUUCCAGGUGUAGCGGUGAAAUGCGUAGAGAUCUGGAGGAAUACCGAUUGCGAAGGCAGCCCCCUGGACAGUGACUGACGCUCAUAUGCGAAAGCGUGGGGAUCAAACAGGAUUAGAUACCCGUGUA
RNAcentral lists this ribosomal RNA (225 nucleotides) under uncultured Thorsellia sp. Its description in RNAcentral is "partial 16S ribosomal RNA". It matches the Rfam family "Bacterial small subunit ribosomal RNA", at positions 568 to 792 of the family's 1533-position model. Lineage: Bacteria; Pseudomonadati; Pseudomonadota; Gammaproteobacteria; Enterobacterales; Thorselliaceae. The record is from RNAcentral.